GACGAACGCUGGCGGCGUGCUUAACACAUGCAAGUCGAGCGGUAAGGCCCUUCGGGUACACGAGCGGCGAACGGGUGAGUAACACGUGGGUGACCUGCCUCUAGCUCUGGGAUAAGCCUGGGAAACUGGGUCUAAUACCGGAUAUGACUCCACGGCGCAUGUUGUGGGGUGGAAAGCCUUGUGUGGCUAGAGAUGGGCCCGCGGCCUAUCAGCUUGUUGGUGGGGUGAU
This 229-nucleotide ribosomal RNA is filed under the name uncultured bacterium. Its description in RNAcentral is "partial 16S ribosomal RNA". It matches the Rfam family "Bacterial small subunit ribosomal RNA", at positions 28 to 261 of the family's 1533-position model. The record is from RNAcentral.